UACGGAGGGUGCGAGCGUUGUCCGGAAUCACUGGGCGUAAAGGGCGCGUAGGCGGCGCGGGAAGGCGGCGGUGAAAGUCCGGGGCUCAACCCCGGAUCGGCCGUGGCGACUCCCGCGCUGGAGCACAGUAGAGGCGGGUGGAAUUCCGGGUGUAGCGGUGGAAUGCGUAGAGAUCCGGAGGAACACCGAUGGCGAAGGCAACCACCUGGGCCUGCACUGACGCUGAGGUACGAAAGCGUGGGGAGCAAACAGG
This 253-nucleotide ribosomal RNA is filed under the name uncultured bacterium. RNAcentral describes it as "partial 16S ribosomal RNA". It matches the Rfam family "Bacterial small subunit ribosomal RNA", at positions 524 to 776 of the family's 1533-position model. The record is from RNAcentral.